Pelobates cultripes (western spadefoot toad) is the source of this 552-nucleotide non-coding RNA. The record is from the annotation of a GenBank genome assembly. Lineage: Eukaryota; Metazoa; Chordata; Amphibia; Anura; Pelobatidae.
CCUGGUCUCCUACCAUAGAUAUAUCGACGAUAUAUUUUUUAUAUGGAAGGGCACACAAUUGGAUUUAGAACUCUUUUUAGCAAGUAUUAAUCUAAAUGAGGGGGGUUUACAUUUUAGCAGUUCCUUUAGCAGUCAGAAUAUUAAUUUUUUAGAUUUGGAAAUUUAUGAAGAAGCCGGCAUUUUAAAAACAAUUUUUUUUAUUUUUUUUUAAAGUAGACGCCAAUUGCUAUGUAUUAUAUAACAGCGGGCACUAUACCCCCUGGCUCAAUAAUAUUCCAAAAGGUCAACUACAAAGGAUAAGAAGGAACUGCACUGAACAGAAUUUUUUUGAAGAGCAAGCAAAAGUAGUAAUAGAUAAAUUUUCCCAAAAACAAUAUCCCACUGAUAUACUAAAUAGGGCAUACGAUGAAAUUAAAGACCUGGAGCAGAAUCAAUUGGUUUUUAGACAAAGCAAUUAUAACAAAGGACAAGAGAAAUUUGAUAAAGUGCCUUUAGUUUUAGAUUUUAAUCAGGACUUUAAAAGAGUUAAAUCUAUUAUUAAUAGACACUGGC